AGGUGUCCGCUGCGAAAUGGGAUGCUGUGCCUAUGCCAAGCACUCCCCCCCACCCAUGAAGGAGGAUGGGUGCACGGCAUAGGCAACCCCCCCCGUCAUCGGGGCAACGGGGGGGGAUGUCGGUCCGGUGGUCUCCGACCACCGUUCCGGCCGUCGGUCCGGUGAAAACGGUCAGGUGGGCUAGUAGGGCUGCGAUGCUAUUUUUCGAGAGGCGAGGGACGGCACACCUCGGAUUUCGGUCUUUCCAACGUAUUCGGAGGGCAUUCGUGACCAUGGCUUCGGCUUUGGGACGAGCGAGCAAACGGAGAGUACUGCGGUCGGGUCAAGAUUUGAGUUUUACUCUCUCGGGGGGGCGCAGAACUGUCUCUAGUUUCUCGCCUGGCCGUUGAUGGAGAUAAUUCGUUAUCCUCCGUCCUGUCCCGUCGGAAAUUUUUAAAACUUGGUCUGGUGGGCUAGUGGUGCUGUGUUGAUCUUUCUCGAGGGGAGAGGGACGGUUCAUCUCGGAUCUCGAUCUUUCCAACGUGUUCGAAGGGCAUUCGUGACCAUGGCUUCGGCUGUGGGAUGAGCGAGCGACCGGAGAGUACCGCGGUCGGGUCAAGGUUUGAGUUUUAACCUCUCGGGGGCGCGCAACACUGUCUCUACUUUCUCGUUUGGCCGUUGAUGGAGAUAUUUCACUCUUCUCCAUCCUGUCCCGUCGGAAAUUUUUAAAACUUGGUCUGGUGGGCUAGUGGUGCUGUGUUGAUCUUUCUCGAGGGGAGAGGGACGGUUCAUCUCGGAUCUCGAUCUUUCCAACGUGUUCGAAGGGCAUUCGUGACCAUGGCUUCGGCUGUGGGAUGAGCGAGCGACCGGAGAGUACCGCGGUCGGGUCAAGGUUUGAGUUUUAACCUCUCGGGGGCGCGCAACACUGUCUCUACUUUCUCGUUUGGCCGAUAAAAAGAGAUGAUGAUUCAUUAUGCCCCAUAUCAAAACAUUCCGAAAAAAUGUGGAAGAACUAGCAUGCUUCGGCUUGUGCUAACUUGAUGCAUCAUAAGGUUUGUUGCGGUGGGUUGGGCGUAAUGGAGAGUCGUUGGUUUUUUAAAAUGCUUUCCAAAUGUCCCUUAAAGGUUUUCGUCCCUCGGAUUGUGUGUUUCUUCACGUGAAGCGGUGCUGGUGUGGUCUUGCUUGACGUUUCCGCAUGCUCAGCGGUUCUAGUAACCGUUGGGUUGUGGUUCGUUUGGUUGGGUCAUCAUCGGACGUACGCAACUCAUGUGUGAGUGGUGGUCGGAUGGCAUGGGUCUGCAAGCUCCUUGCUCAGCGCAACGAAUUGUAAGCCCUCCAUCCUUUUCAUAGUCUUCCCACAAGCAUGGUCAUUUGCCUUGUGGGUAAGAUCGGUAUCCUGUGUUUUUUACCAAUUGAACGGAAUUCGAUUGUUUUYGUUUCCUUAUUCGCCCGGUUCCCUUAGGGGUGUUGGGCGGACGAUAGGCUGACCUCGUGUUCCAGGUACAUCUCGCAUUUUUGCUUGGUUUUACCAUGGCCCAUGGGGUUAUGCUUGUUCUCUCGGACGCGGACCGUUAGUUGUGGGCGAGGGGUUACGGCCUCCAUUCGUCCAAGCUAUAGUAUGCAUUUGUCAAUCGACACGAACGACCGCCGCACUCGUCUUGGCUUUUUAUAGUCGAAUGGCUGUACAAUGUCCAUGCGAGUGUCGGUGUCGUGGAGGAAAUGC
RNAcentral lists this unclassified non-coding RNA (1702 nucleotides) under Acer grandidentatum. Its description in RNAcentral is "external transcribed spacer". Lineage: Eukaryota; Viridiplantae; Streptophyta; Magnoliopsida; Sapindales; Sapindaceae. The record is from RNAcentral.